GUGGGGAAUUUUGGACAAUGGGCGCAAGCCUGAUCCAGCAAUGCCGCGUGCAGGAAGAAGGCCUUCGGGUUGUAAACUGCUUUUGUACGGAACGAAACGGUCCUGGUUAAUACCUGGGGCUAAUGACGGUACCGUAAGAAUAAGCACCGGCUAACUACGUGCCAGCAGCCGCGGUAAUACGUAGGGUGCGAGCGUUAAUCGGAAUUACUGGGCGUAAAGCGUGCGCAGGCGGUGCUGUAAGACAGGCGUGAAAUCCCCGGGUUCAACCUGGGAAUUGCGCUUGGGACUGCAGUGCUGGAGUACGGCAGAGGGGGAUGGAAUUCCGCGUGUAGCAGUGAAAUGCGUAGAUAUGCGGAGGAGCACCGAUGGCGAAGGCAGUCCCCUGGGCCUGUACUGACGCUCAUGCACGAAAGCGUGGGGAGCAAACAGGAUUAGAAACCCGGGUAGUCC
Molecule: ribosomal RNA, 450 nt
Filed under: uncultured bacterium
Lineage: Bacteria
Description: partial 16S ribosomal RNA
Rfam family: Bacterial small subunit ribosomal RNA
Source: RNAcentral